ACACUCCUACGGGAGGCAGCAGUGGGGAAUUUUGGACAAUGGGCGAAAGCCUGAUCCAGCAAUGCCGCGUGAGUGAAGAAGGCCUUCGGGUUGUAAAGCUCUUUUGUCAGGGAAGAAACGGUGAGAGCUAAUAUCUUUUGCUAAUGACGGUACCUGAAGAAUAAGCACCGGCUAACUACGUGCCAGCAGCCGCGGUAAUACGUAGGGUGCAAGCGUUAAUCGGAAUUACUGGGCGUAAAGCGUGCGCAGGCGGUUUUGUAAGUCUGAUGUGAAAUCCCCGGGCUCAACCUGGGAAUUGCAUUGGAGACUGCAAGGCUAGAAUCUGGCAGAGGGGGGUAGAAUUCCACGUGUAGCAGUGAAAUGCGUAGAUAUGUGGAGGAACACCGAUGGCGAAGGCAGCCCCCUGGGUCAAGAUUGACGCUCAUGCACGAAAGCGUGGGGAGCAAACAGGAUUAGAUACCCGUGUAGUCC
RNAcentral lists this ribosomal RNA (471 nucleotides) under uncultured organism. RNAcentral describes it as "partial 16S ribosomal RNA". It matches the Rfam family "Bacterial small subunit ribosomal RNA", at positions 333 to 796 of the family's 1533-position model. The record is from RNAcentral.